GACGAACGCUGGCGGCGUGCUUAACACAUGCAAGUCGAACGGAGCGAAUGAAAGCUUGCUUUUAUAAGCUUAGUGGCAAACGGGUGAGUAACACGUAGGCAACCUGCCGACAGGAUGGGGACAACAUUCCGAAAGGAAUGCUAAUACCGAAUGAAGCGGAGGAGAGGCAUCUCCCCUCCGUGAAAGAUGGCCUCUUUUUAUGCUAUCACCUGUCGAUGGGCCUGCGUCUGAUUAGCUGGUAGGUGAGGUAACGGCUCACCUAGGCGACGAUCAGUAGCCGGUCUGAGAGGAUGAACGGCCACAUUGGGACUGAGACACGGCCCAGACUCCUACGGGAGGCAGCAGUGGGGAAUCUUCCGCAAUGGGCGCAAGCCUGACGGAGCAACGCCGCGUGAGUGAAGAAGGUCUUCGGAUCGUAAAGCUCUGUUGAUGGGGACGAACGUGCCUAAUGCGAAUAGUUUUAGGCAAGACGGUAC
Molecule: ribosomal RNA, 476 nt
Filed under: Centipeda noxia
Lineage: Bacteria; Bacillati; Bacillota; Negativicutes; Selenomonadales; Selenomonadaceae
Description: bacterial SSU rRNA
Rfam family: Bacterial small subunit ribosomal RNA
Source: RNAcentral